Molecule: ribosomal RNA, 274 nt
Filed under: uncultured bacterium
Lineage: Bacteria
Description: partial 16S ribosomal RNA
Rfam family: Bacterial small subunit ribosomal RNA
Source: RNAcentral
AUACGGAGGGUGCAAGCGUUAUCGGGAAUCAUUGGGUUUAAAGGGUCCGUAGGCGGACUAAUAAGUCAGGGGUGAAAUCCCACAGCUUAACUGUGGAACUGCCUUUGAUACUGUUAGUCUUGAGUUAUAUGGAAGUAGAUAGAAUGUGUAGUGUAGCGGUGAAAUGCUUAGAGAUUACACAGAAUACCGAUUGCGAAGGCAGUCUACUACGUAUAUACUGACGCUAAGGGACGAAAGCGUGGGGAGCGAACAGGAUUAGAAACCCUUGUAGUCC